AGAGAGAGACAUGCGCGCAUAUCAAUAAGCGGAGGAAAAGAAACUAACAAGGAUUCCCUUAGUAACGGCGAGUGAAGCGGGAAGAGCUCAAAUUUGAAAUCUUCAAGGUUCUACCUUGACGAAUUGUAGUUUAUAGAAGCGUUUUCUGUUAGUGGAGUGGCAAAAGUUCUUUGGAAUAGGACAUCAUAGAGGGUGAGAAUCCCGUAUUUGGUCAUUCCUCCUAGCGUUGUGAUACACUUUCAACGAGUCGGAUUGUUUGGGAAUGCAGUCCAAAAUGGGUGGUAAAUUUCAUCUAAAGCUAAAUAUUGGCGAGAGACCGAUAGCGAACAAGUACCGUGAGGGAAAGAUGAAAAGAACUUUGAAAAGAGAGUUAAACAGUACGUGAAAUUGUCAAAAGGGAAGCAUUUGACACCAGUGUUGUUUUUCCGAAAAUCAAUUACGAAUGUUUUGUUUUUGAGGAGUUAUGACUUCAUCGGCUUGCUCCUUUCCUUACUGAAACUUUCUUAAUGCACUUUUCGGUUAACAAGUCAACAUCAAUUUCUUUUGUUGUAAAAGGGUAUGAGGAAGGUGGCUUUCUUUUCGGAGAAAGUGUUUAUAGCCUCGUGCCUCUGCAAUCGGAGAGAUUGAGGUCUGCAGCGUAGAUCCUUCGGGGUUAGAUACGUUUGUGCUAAGUUAUAGCUUUUCAUAGACAACUUGUUGACUAUGUUUAGUCUUGUAGCUUACUCGCUGAUGCUAUUUUACCUACGCUUAGGAUGUUGAUAGUCACAGCGUGUAC
Molecule: ribosomal RNA, 775 nt
Filed under: uncultured Neocallimastigales
Lineage: Eukaryota; Fungi; Neocallimastigomycota; Neocallimastigomycetes; Neocallimastigales
Description: partial large subunit ribosomal RNA
Rfam family: Eukaryotic large subunit ribosomal RNA
Source: RNAcentral